GCCGGCCACAGGCUCACCUCCCUUCCCGCCGCGCCCGGGGAGAGGAAGCGAGGUGGCCUUUACCCCUGCGCAGGCCGGCCAGGAAUGCGGGGCCGCGCUUCCCACUCUACCCGCCCGAGGGCUGAGGACGGCGGAGGCGAGAAGCGACGCGCAGAGUCCGGGCGCCGAGUGGUGGAGACGCGUCCCAGGCCGUUCGGAUCGGGGCUGCACACGGGCUGGGGCGAGGCCCGGGCCGCUGGUUCCCGCCCCCUCCCGGAGCCAUUCGUCCCCCGCAGACAACACGACGGGAGGGACCCACGCGCGGCCGCCGGUGCCCCUAGUCAGCCAAAAGCGAGCCCCACUGGCGG
Molecule: long non-coding RNA, 347 nt
Filed under: Homo sapiens (human)
Lineage: Eukaryota; Metazoa; Chordata; Mammalia; Primates; Hominidae
Description: HSALNT0270579
Source: RNAcentral